UAAAAUUCCAAGUGGUACUCAGUCUGGAAGAGUAAGCAAAGCAGCUCCAACAGCCACUGAAGACAAAGAAAAACAAGACAACUAAUUUGGUCAGAGAGGUUAUAUGUGACCUUUUGGAGUCCUCUGGGAAGCCCUGGCUCAGAGCACGUGGAAAUAUAGGUAAGUGAUAUUAUUUGGCUUUGCUAUACUGCCUAUUGAUUUCAAUGAAGUUUAAGAUGUGGCAAUAGCACAGACAAGGUAAAGAAAAGUUCUUAGCAAAUUCUCUUGACAAUACACUUUUUGUUGUUAAAAUUCACAAUGCCAAAUGAUGUGGAAGAACUUAGCUCAGAUGCACUGUCAGAUAA
This 344-nucleotide long non-coding RNA is filed under the name Anser brachyrhynchus (Pink-footed goose). Its description in RNAcentral is "lncRNA (ENSABRG00000001677.1)". The record is from RNAcentral. Lineage: Eukaryota; Metazoa; Chordata; Aves; Anseriformes; Anatidae.